CCACGCUAGAUGGGGAGUUAGCGGUGCCCUGUAACCUGCAAUCCGCUAUAGCAGGGUCGAAUCCGGCAUAAGGUGCUUUUCUGUAGUGCAGGUCUUGGUAAGGGGCGAUGAAGGCCGGGUCUUGCGCAACGAAUCCUUGCCAACCCCGCCAGGCCCGGGAGGGAGCAACGGUACGCAAGGCUCUUCGGGUGCCGCAAGGGUGCCUGGCUGGAGCAACCUGCCUGGAUUUCGGCUGUAGGGAGGUCAUCGAGUGCCGGUGCGUGG
Molecule: signal recognition particle RNA, 264 nt
Filed under: Candidatus Atribacteria bacterium
Lineage: Bacteria; Pseudomonadati; Atribacterota; Atribacteria
Description: signal recognition particle sRNA large type
Rfam family: Bacterial large signal recognition particle RNA
About the family: The signal recognition particle (SRP) is a universally conserved ribonucleoprotein involved in the co-translational targeting of proteins to membranes. Archaeal SRP consists of a 7S RNA and homologues of the eukaryotic SRP19 and SRP54 proteins.
Source: RNAcentral